Molecule: long non-coding RNA, 913 nt
Organism: Balaenoptera musculus (blue whale)
Lineage: Eukaryota; Metazoa; Chordata; Mammalia; Artiodactyla; Balaenopteridae
Exons: 3
Source: RefSeq, a predicted model, not a curated record
GGUGGCCAUCGAUGGCCGCGGAGGGGGCAGGCUGGGGCCUGGCCCACGGAGGCCGAUGGAAGGCGGUGGCCGAAGAGCCAUGCCCCUUGUCGAGGGCAUGCUGUGGGUCUCGCGCCUGUCUGUCUCGCCGCCGCCGCGGCCGCCGUCACCACCCUGCGAGCCCAUCUGAAGUUAGACUGGCUACGUUUCAAGGGCUCAGCAGCCACAACUGAUAGCGGCUACCGCAUCGGACCAUGCAGAGCUAGAUGGGGAGGCAGGAAAGAAAUCAAGUGGAUUCCACACCAAGUGGUGAAAAGUGCUUGUGGGAUCCUAGUUCCCCAACCAGGGAACGAAUUUCAGCCCUUGGCAGUAAAAGCACUGAGUGCCGAGUCCUAACCACCAGACUUCCAAGGAAGUCCCCAGGUUAUCCUUGUUUUCUCUCUAAGCACAUGCUCUGAGGGUCCGUGAGAUCAGGAGACAGAACGAUGACUCAGCUUGGGUUCCUGCUCUUGAGCACAUCACUGCUGCAAGGGAGAAGAGGACAUGUAGACACAUAAACCCAGUUAGUGUGACGAGGGCCAGGCACAGAGCACCACCUCUCAUGAGGGCAGCGUCUGGGCCAGAGGACAGCAGGAGCAAGGGUCUACCAGCCAGAGGAUGUGGGAAGUGGGGCUUCCAGAUAGAGGGACCAGCCAGACCAGAGGCACAGCUUUUGUUCCCGAGCGUGGUUCGGGAGCAGGGAGCGGUGGGACACGCCAAGUGCAGGUUAUGAGGAAGGACGACGGUGAGAUGGGACUGGAGAGGUGUCUGUCUCCAGCUGCAAAGGGCCCUAGAGAGUCAGGCAUGGAAGGUGGGAUUUUAUCCAUCAGACCAGGAGCCGGCAGACUACAGCCCGAUUCCACCCACGCCUUUUUUUUUGUACAGCCUGUGAGCU